CCUACGGGGGGCAGCAGUGAGGAAUAUUGGUCAAUGGACGAGAGUCUGAACCAGCCAAGUAGCGUGAAGGAUGACUGCCCUAUGGGUUGUAAACUUCUUUUAUAAAGGAAUAAAACGAGGCACGUGUGCCUGUUUGCAGGUACUUUAUGAAUAAGGAUCGGCUAACUCCGUGCCAGCAGCCGCGGUAAUACGGAGGAUCCGAGCGUUAUCCGGAUUUAUUGGGUUUAAAGGGAGCGUAGGCGGGUUGUUAAGUCAGUUGUGAAAUUGUGCGGCUCAACCGUAAAAUUGCAGUUGAUACUGGCAUCCUUGAGUACAGUAGAGGUAGGCGGAAUUCGUGGUGUAGCGGUGAAAUGCUUAGAUAUCACGAAGAACUCCGAUUGCGAAGGCAGCCUGCUGGACUGUAACUGACGCUGAUGCUCGAAAGUGUGGGUAUCAAACAGGAUUAGAUACCCGAGUAGUC
This 460-nucleotide ribosomal RNA is filed under the name uncultured bacterium. Its description in RNAcentral is "partial 16S ribosomal RNA". It matches the Rfam family "Bacterial small subunit ribosomal RNA", at positions 338 to 795 of the family's 1533-position model. The record is from RNAcentral.